CCGCCGCGGGAACACCGGCGGCCCGAGUGGUGAUCGUGAUUAUUGGGUCUAAAGGGUCCGUAGCCGGUUGGUCAGUCCUCCGGGAAAUCUGAUAGCUCAACUAUUAGGCUUUCGGGGGAUACUGCCAGACUUGGAACCGGGAGAGGUAAGAGGUACUACAGGGGUAGGAGUGAAAUCUUGUAAUCCCUGUGGGACCACCUGUGGCGAAGGCGUCUUACCAGAACGGGUUCGACGGUGAGGGACGAAAGCUGGGGGCACGAACCGGAUUAGAUACCCGGGUAGUCCCAGCCGUAAACGAUGCUCGCUAGGUGUCAGGCAUGGCGCGACCGUGUCUGGUGCCGCAGGGAAGCCGUGAAGCGAGCCACCUGGGAAGUACGGCCGCAAGGCUGAAACUUAAAGGAAUUGGCGGGGGAGCACAACAAACCGGGGUGGAGCCUGCGGUUUAAUUGGACUCAACGCCGGACAACUCACCGGGGGCGACAGCAAUAUGUAGGCCAAGCUGAAGACUUUGCCUGAAUCGCUGAGGGGAGGUGCAUGG
RNAcentral lists this ribosomal RNA (538 nucleotides) under uncultured archaeon. RNAcentral's name for it is "bacterial SSU rRNA". It matches the Rfam family "Archaeal small subunit ribosomal RNA", at positions 462 to 997 of the family's 1478-position model. The record is from RNAcentral.